GAUGAACGCUGGCGGCGUGCCUAAUACAUGCAAGUCGAGCGAACAGACGAGGAGCUUGCUCCUCUGACGUUAGCGGCGGACGGGUGAGUAACACGUGGAUAACCUACCUAUAAGACUGGGAUAACUUCGGGACACCGGAGCUAAUACCGGAUAAUAUAUUGAACCGCAUGGUUCAAUAGUGAAAGACGGUUUUGCUGUCACUUAUAGAUGGAUCCGCGCCGCAUUAGCUAGUUGGUAAGGUAACGGCUUACCAAGGCAACGAUGCGUAGCCGACCUGAGAGGGGGGUCGGCCACAUUGGAGCUGGGACACGGUCCAGACUCCUACGGGAGGCAGCAGUAGGGAAUCGUCCGCAAUGGGCGAAAGCCUGACGGAGCAACGGCGCGUCAGUGAUGAAGGUCUUCGGAUCGUAAAACUGUGUUAUUAGGGAAGAACAAAUGUGUAAGUAACUAUGCACGGCUUGACGGUACUUAAUCAGAAAGCCACGGCUAACUACGUG
RNAcentral lists this ribosomal RNA (497 nucleotides) under uncultured bacterium. RNAcentral describes it as "partial 16S ribosomal RNA". It matches the Rfam family "Bacterial small subunit ribosomal RNA", at positions 28 to 507 of the family's 1533-position model. The record is from RNAcentral.